This 73-nucleotide transfer RNA is filed under the name Thermosediminibacter oceani DSM 16646. It matches the Rfam family "tRNA". From Rfam's summary of the family: Transfer RNA (tRNA) molecules are approximately 80 nucleotides in length. Their secondary structure includes four short double-helical elements and three loops (D, anti-codon, and T loops). Further hydrogen bonds mediate the characteristic L-shaped molecular structure. tRNAs have two regions of fundamental functional importance: the anti-codon, which is responsible for specific mRNA codon recognition, and the 3' end, to which the tRNAs corresponding amino acid is attached (by aminoacyl-tRNA synthetases). tRNAs cope with the degeneracy of the genetic code in two manners: having more than one tRNA (with a specific anti-codon) for a particular amino acid; and 'wobble' base-pairing, i.e. permitting non-standard base-pairing at the 3rd anti-codon position. The record is from Rfam by way of RNAcentral. Lineage: Bacteria; Bacillati; Bacillota; Clostridia; Thermosediminibacterales; Thermosediminibacteraceae.
GCCUUGGUAGCUCAGUUGGUAGAGCAGAGGACUGAAAAUCCUCGUGUCGGUGGUUCGAUUCCGCCCCAAGGCA